This 21-nucleotide non-coding RNA is filed under the name Caenorhabditis elegans. Lineage: Eukaryota; Metazoa; Nematoda; Chromadorea; Rhabditida; Rhabditidae. The record is from RNAcentral.
UAUACUUAACUUUUAUUUAAA